Nothobranchius furzeri (turquoise killifish) is the source of this 709-nucleotide non-coding RNA. Lineage: Eukaryota; Metazoa; Chordata; Actinopteri; Cyprinodontiformes; Nothobranchiidae. The record is from the annotation of a RefSeq genome assembly.
UGCAUCAGCAGCACCAUGCUCCAGUGCUCUGGGAGAGUUUAUAGUCCUGAGAGUUGAAGACUGGAUGACUGACAGCUGUCCUUCAUCACAACAGAAGACUUGGAAAUCCUCCUGAUCAAAACCAUGACUUUGAUCUGCGUCCUCAUCUGGACUCUCCUCUGCUGCUGCUUCACAGAGUCCAGAGGUCAGGUCACAGUGACUCAGUCUGCAGCAGUGAGCUCUGCUGUGGGACGCUCCGUCUCCAUCUCAUGUAGGACCAGUCAGGAUGUUUAUAACAACGACUAUUUAUACUGGUACCAACAGAAAGAUGGACAACCUCCUAAACUCCUCGUUAAUGGCGCUACCCGCCGACAAUCAGGAAUCUCAGAUCGUUUUUCAGGCAGUGGAUCUGGAUCUGACUUCACUCUGACCAUCAGAGGAGUUCAGGCUGAAGAUGCUGCAGUUUAUUACUGUCAGAGUCGACAUUUUAUAAACAGCCAGAAUCUGUUCACACAGUGAAAACCCGUCGUACAAAAACCUCCCUCAGUCAGGCUGAACAGAAACUAACAGCUGGAAGCUUCAGCAGUUCACUGAUGACAUAAACACGUGUAGCAACACUUUCAUCCUUCAAAACACUAAAUAUGAUAUUUUAUCUUAAAAUAAAAUAAUUACAUGUGCUGAAUUUAAUAAACCUUUAUAACUCAUUUAGAGUUUAAAGAGUUGAUGAUUU